AACGCACGAGACCUGCGGACCUGCGGAAGGAUCAUUACCGAGUUUACAACUCCCAAACCCAAUGUGAACGUUACCAAACUGUUGCCUCGGCGGGAUCUCUGCCCCGGGUGCGUCGCAGCCCCGGACCAAGGCGCCCGCCGGAGGACCAACCAAAACUCUUUUGUAUACCCCCUCGCGGGUCUUUAUAUCUGAGCCAUCUCGGCGCCUCUCGUAGGCGUUUCGAAAAUGAAUCAAAACUUU
Molecule: unclassified non-coding RNA, 240 nt
Filed under: soil metagenome
Description: partial contains 5.8S ribosomal RNA, internal transcribed spacer 2, and large subunit ribosomal RNA
Source: RNAcentral